RNAcentral lists this ribosomal RNA (253 nucleotides) under uncultured bacterium. Its description in RNAcentral is "partial 16S ribosomal RNA". It matches the Rfam family "Bacterial small subunit ribosomal RNA", at positions 524 to 776 of the family's 1533-position model. The record is from RNAcentral.
GACGAAGGAUGCAAGCGUUAUCCGGAUUCAUUGGGUUUAAAGGGAGCGUAGGUGGCCUUAUAAGUCAGUGGUGAAAUCUCUGGGCUUAACCCAGAAAUUGCCAUUGAUACUGUAGUGCUUGAGUAUAGUUGCCGUUGGCGGAAUAUGACAUGUAGUGGUGAAAUACAUAGAGAUGUCAUAGAACACCGAUUGCGAAGGCAGCUGACGAAACUAUAACUGACACUGAGGCUCGAAAGUGCGGGGAUCAAACAGG